This 598-nucleotide ribosomal RNA is filed under the name uncultured Clostridium sp. RNAcentral's name for it is "bacterial SSU rRNA". It matches the Rfam family "Bacterial small subunit ribosomal RNA", at positions 917 to 1519 of the family's 1533-position model. Lineage: Bacteria; Bacillati; Bacillota; Clostridia; Eubacteriales; Clostridiaceae. The record is from RNAcentral.
GGGCCCGCACAAGCAGCGGAGCAUGUGGUUUAAUUCGAAGCAACGCGAAGAACCUUACCUAGACUUGACAUCUCCUGAAUUACUCGUAAUGGAGGAAGCCCUUCGGGGCAGGAAGACAGGUGGUGCAUGGUUGUCGUCAGCUCGUGUCGUGAGAUGUUAGGUUAAGUCCUGCAACGAGCGCAACCCUUAUCAUUAGUUGCUACCAUUAAGUUGAGCACUCUAGUGAGACUGCCGUGGUUAACGCGGAGGAAGGUGGGGAUGACGUCAAAUCAUCAUGCCCCUUAUGUCUAGGGCUACACACGUGCUACAAUGGGUGAUACAAAGAGAUGCAAUACAGUGAUGUGGAGCAAAACUAUAAAAUCACCCUCAGUUCGGAUUGUAGGCUGAAACUCGCCUACAUGAAGCUGGAGUUGCUAGUAAUCGCGAAUCAGCAUGUCGCGGUGAAUACGUUCCCGGGCCUUGUACACACCGCCCGUCACACCAUGAGAGCUGGCAACACCCGAAGUCCGUAGUCUAACCGUAAGGGAGACGCGGCCGAAGGUGGGGUUAGUGAUUGGGGUGAAGUCGUAACAAGGUAGCCGUAGGAGAACCUGCGGCU